RNAcentral lists this ribosomal RNA (253 nucleotides) under uncultured bacterium. RNAcentral's name for it is "partial 16S ribosomal RNA". It matches the Rfam family "Bacterial small subunit ribosomal RNA", at positions 524 to 776 of the family's 1533-position model. The record is from RNAcentral.
UACGUAGGGUGCAAGCGUUGUCCGGAAUUAUUGGGCGUAAAGAGCUCGUAGGCGGUCUGUCGCGUCGGCUGUGAAAACUCGGGGCUCAACUCCGAGCUUGCAGUCGAUACGGGCAAGCUAGAGUUCGGCAGGGGAGACUGGAAUUCCUGGUGUAGCGGUGAAAUGCGCAGAUAUCAGGAGGAACACCGGUGGCGAAGGCGGGUCUCUGGGCCGAUACUGACGCUGAGGAGCGAAAGCGUGGGGAGCGAACAGG